CCUGUCUGGUGAUGUUGAGAGAAAGGACGGACUGAUUUUUUCCCUUUUCUUUCCCAGGUUUGGAGUAGUUGCUGCCUGUUCCCGAAGAGGGGAGCUGUAAGGCUUCAAGGUGAGUUAAAGCAAUGAAGGAGAGACCUGAAUGCAAAAGGGGCGAAGAAAGAGAGAAACGGCAGGAAAGGCAAGGAAUCCGCGGCUGGCUGGAGAGAGGAAGGAGGUUGGAAGGAUUGAGAGACGUCCCAUCUGGUUCCUUUCCAUUAUGUGCAGUCAACUGUGAGGAUGUAGUUCAUUGGGGAGUUCAUGCUUUCCAUGCAGAAGAUCUCAGGUUCAAUUUUGGCCACUCCAAUUUAAAGGAUAAGAAGUGCCCUGCUGGAUCAGACCAAAAGGCGAUUCUAGUCCAGCAACUUGUUCCCACGCUGGUCAAUCAGCAAGCCUCUGAGAAGUCCACAAGCAGGACAUGAAUGCAAUACCUCUCCUCCCCUCCGAAAAUAUGGGGUCUCAGUGCAGUGUGAUUUCAAAUAACUUCACAACAUGGCUGUUAACUGCCCUCAGUUGUGCUUGCCUGUGAGAAGCUUUUGUGCUUAUCUUGAGUCCUGUGUUAGCACUGCAGAAAGCAGCUACUGCCUAAAAUGCUGAUUGCUCCAUUUUUAUCACUCUUGUGUUUCUUGCUCUGAGGAUCUAAUACGGGAACUGUGGAUAUGAUGAGAAGAAGGGCUCAUCUACAGAUCUCUCUCAAAAAGCAGGCACAUGCCUUUGGUAAGGUACAUUCCCGGAGAGGAGAACCGCAACUGGAAAGCUUCAAGGAUCAGGAAUAACAAGGGAGGACCUGGCGGGAAGCAAAGUGGAGGAGAAUUUGGAAGCAGGUGGAAGAAGAGACUUCCAUGUUGCUUAGUUUGGGACCAUUUGAUUGGGACAGAUCCACAAGAAAUUAAGCAGGAACCAGAUGAGGGGCUCCAGCAGGGUGGGAAGCCUAGUGGCAGGUGUUCCUGGAGACAACAUAGGGCCCUAGGCACAGAGACAAAAACUCAUCGCUGCCUCGAUCCCAGUCAGGAUUGAGAACACUAAAGACUUCCUGUCCACCUUGAUAGGAGUAGCUGGUGCCAGGCUGCGGCCUAGGGGGGAAAAGGUGACCCAGGCCUUGGAAGGCAUCAGUGGAGAAACCCAAGAGGCCCAUGAAAAGCCAGAUUCUAUGGUGGAAGUGAAGAAAGAGAGUCUGGAGGAGGAGGAAGACUCAAAGAUGGAACAUCAGCAUUCCAGGCACUUUGGAUACCAUGCGAGCAAGGGAUCCCAUUUGGACAGGAACUUUGGGUAUUUGGGGCUGAAGCCAGGGAGAUCUACAAAGCAGAGCCUGGGGGAUGCUGAAUUCUGGACCGGUUCAAUCUCGCUGUCCAUCUUGAGCCACUACACUAGCUACACCCAAGGGCCUCCAUUUGCAUUAUGCCAGGAUGCCCAUCAUGUAGAGCCUCCCACACAUGAUGUCUCAACGCAGUGGGAAUCAUAGAAUAGUAGAGUUGGAGGGGGCCUAUAAGGCCAUCAAGUCCAACCCUCUGCUCAAUGCAGGAAUCCAAAUCAAAGCAUUCCCGACAGAUGGCUGUCCAGCUGCCUCUUGAAUGCCUCCAGUUUCGGAGAGCCCACUACCUCUCUAGGUAAUUGGUUCCAUUGUUGUAUGGCUCUAACAGUUAGGAAGUUUUUCUUGAUGUCCAGUCGAAAUCUGGCUUCUUGCAACUUGAGCCCAUUAUUCCGUCUCCUGCAUUCUGGGACAAUCGAGAAGAGAUCCCGGCCCUCCUCUGUGUGACAACCUUUCAUGUACUUGAAGAGUGCUAUCAUAUCUCCUCUCAGUCUUCUCCAGGCUAAACGUGCCCAGUUCUUUCAGUCUCUCAUAGAGAUUUGUUUCCAGUCCCCUGAUCAUCCUUGUUGCCCUUUUCUGAACCUGUUCCAGUUUGUUUGCAUCCUUCUUGAAGCGCGGAGAAAUGAACUGGACUCAGUACUCAAGAUGAGGCCUAACCAGUGCUGAAUAGAAGGGAACUAAUACUUCACAUGUAUGAGUACUCUGUUUGCCCAGAGGGAGAGGGUGCCCCAGACCUUGGCAGGUGUCAUUGGAGAACACCAAGUGGCCUAUGAAAGCCUGGAUUUUACUGUGGAAGUGAAGGCGGAGACUCUGGAUGAUAUAAAUAGAGGUGCAACAUGCAUCAGUAUGUACACAUUCAAUAAGACGUUGAGAGUGGAGGCUGUGGGAGCCCAGUGUUAGCAGGAGAAGAAAUAUGCAAGGACUUAAUGAUCAAAGGAGAUUCCACAUCUUCCUGCGUAUUGCUAUCCGAAGUAUGCAACCUGGCCCUCAUAGAGUUGGUGAUCAAAGGAGAUUCCACAUCUUCCUGCGUAUUGCUAUCCGAAGUAUGCAACCUGGCCCUCAUAGAGUUGGUGGUCAAGGUGGAUCCCCGGCAGUUCCGUAUUUUACUUUUCAGAGUCGAUGGCCAAGAUGGAUCCAUUUCCAAGGCUACAGCAUGUUUUACCAUGCAAUCAGGAUGUUUCACUGUUGGUGAUUGUACUUUUAGGAAGUUCUGCUCCUGUCCAGGCCGAGAUCCGGUUAGAGAUAAACUGAGCCCCUUCGGGAGAGCUUUUGGAAACCUUGGACCAGAGCAAUGCCAAUGAAGAAUCAACUUUAUGCUGAAAUCAAUGCUUUGCUUCUAUUACUUGUUCAAUCCACAAUGUCUGAGGCUAAGCAAAGAGGAAAGCUGCAAGCACUUCUAUGCAAAGUCUUUACCAUUCUCCUUCCAAAACUCAGGGAACUCCAGGAGCAAUAGAAUCAUGUAACGUUGCCUUAUCGUUAUUUUGAUGGUUAUUUCAGUCCAUUCCAAUUCAGUGGGAUUUCCUCGAGUCCUGUAUAAAAGGGCUUUUAGGGGGGGAAAUAGAAAUGAGACACAUUAUUUAUCCCAAUCCGGGUGCAGGUCUGGUUUGGGGACUACCUUAGUGGAUGACUUGUGGAGGUGCAUCCUUUUUGGACUUAGUGGAUUCCAUACCAUUGGCCAAAGCGUCCUUCUUGGGCAUCUGUCUGGAAGAGGAAAUGGAAGGAAAUAGGAAGCUACCUUAUACCGAGUCAUACCAUUGGUCAAUGUUGUCUACGGUACACUGACUGGCAGCGGCUCUCUGGGGUUUCAUACAGGGAGUCAUUCUCAACCUUACCUGGCAAUGCCAGGACCAAACCUGGGACCUUCUGCAUGCAAAGCAGCUGCUGUACCACUGAGCCGUGGUGGUUCCAUCUGACAGAUCCCAGAAGAUGAGGCCCCGUGGCCAAUGCCCUCGAGGUUCAUUUGGGUUCCAUACUGACCCCUGUACUAUUUAACAUCAACAUGGAACCACUUGGAGAGGUCUUUUGGGGAUUUGAUCCCAUGAACAUGUUGACGACACACAGCUCUCCUUUUGCUUUCCAUUCUAUGCAAAGAAAGCUGUAAAGGUUCAGAUUCUAUGUUUGAGCACAGUGGUGGGAUUGUGCGUUGGCUAACAAACAGACUUAAUUCAUACAAGACAUACAAGACAGUUGGUCCGUAGGAAAGCUGAUCCAGAAUUAAGCAUACAACCUACAGUGGAUUGGAUUGCACUCUCUUUGAAGUUUGGGGGGGGGUUACAAUUGGAUCUGUCUUUCUGUUUGAAAAUAAUGAGUCAGAAAAAUAAACUCUGGAUGGGUUAUGUGUGUAUGUGCUCACUCCUCCCCCAACUCAUAUUUAGCAAUAGACCAAAGCAAGCUCACAUGUGGUCUUUCCACUAGGUGGAGACAGUAUUCUGUAUAUUCAUGUGAUGCAAAUGGAGUGUGUUGUUGCCCAAUUGUAUGUCAUGAUCGCUGCUUUUUACAAUCAAAUCCCAAUGUUAAUACACAGCCUGAACAACUGCAAUGUAACAUACUGAAUUUGCGCUAUUGUAGUUUCUAUGAGUAAGUAAAAUGAUGUAUGUUAAUAUUUAUAUCUUAUAUUUUCUACUUGCAAACGCUGGAUUUUGCAACCCAGCCCCCCCCUUUAUUGGGCUCUAAGAAAAUUCUUGCUCUUAAAAGAGGAAUUAUUUUUCAAAAACCUUUAUUGCUGGAACUUCUGCUGACCUCAGUGACCCAGAGAUGGUGGUGGGUCUGUAGCAGUUCUUGGUCACUUAGAUUCUGUUUUUCUGUUGUGGUUUCUUUUUAUAUCUUUAAGCUCAGAUGUGAAUUUUCAGUGGACCUUAGUGUGUGUGCGGAUAGAUGCAAUGUGGUUAUAAAUUUCUACAUGCCAAGGUUGCUCCUUAGGAUAUAUACCACUGGAAUGUUACAAACACUUUAUGUUGUCCUUCUCAUCAAAUAACCUGUUUCAACGUUUACCUUCUUGGAGGGGGGUUUACAUCUGUGCCCUUUCAUGGAAGGAGCAUUAAUACUGUGACAGAACACUUACGGGGCAACAUUGCAAAAUAUAAUCUUUUUGUCACAUGCUUUUUCUUUACAAAAAUAAAAUGGUUCUCUCUUGCCAA
Molecule: long non-coding RNA, 4482 nt
Organism: Rhineura floridana
Lineage: Eukaryota; Metazoa; Chordata; Lepidosauria; Squamata; Rhineuridae
Exons: 8
Source: RefSeq, a predicted model, not a curated record